GUGUUUGCUUCAGCAGCAUAUACACCAAGAUUGCAACAACACAGAGGAGAUUAGCACAGGCCCUGCACAAAGAUAACAUGCAAAUUUGUGAAAUGGUCUAUACUGUU
This is a small nuclear RNA of Rhinopithecus bieti (black snub-nosed monkey), 107 nucleotides long. The record is from Ensembl. NCBI's taxonomy places the organism in Eukaryota, Metazoa, Chordata, Mammalia, Primates, Cercopithecidae.